This 67-nucleotide transfer RNA is filed under the name Synapturanus sp. MHNL 19901. RNAcentral's name for it is "tRNA-Tyr". It matches the Rfam family "tRNA". Rfam says of the family: Transfer RNA (tRNA) molecules are approximately 80 nucleotides in length. Their secondary structure includes four short double-helical elements and three loops (D, anti-codon, and T loops). The record is from RNAcentral. Lineage: Eukaryota; Metazoa; Chordata; Amphibia; Anura; Microhylidae.
GGCAAAGUGGCUGAGUAAGUGGUGGGUUGUAGCCCCGAACACGGAGGUGUUAGUCCUCCCUUUGUCA